GAGCUUGCGCGCUUAUUGUGUGAUCAGAAAGUGCACAAAGAAGGUGCUUCUUGAUUGAUCAUUGAAGGCUUGGCAUCUUGUGAAGACUGCUACAUUUUGUGAAGGCUUGGCAUCCUGUGAAGACUGCUGUGUUGAGGCUUGGUAUCCUGUAAAGGGUGCUAGAAUUGAACCUGUUGUGAUACAGGGGUUACACGUUGAGGACUGUUCGACGUGGGUUCAGAUUGCAGAAGAGGGGAUUCUUGUUGCAAGUAUGGUUUUGGGUUAGAGAGG
This 270-nucleotide long non-coding RNA is filed under the name Vigna radiata. RNAcentral describes it as "long non-coding RNA (VRAD_LNC002593)". Lineage: Eukaryota; Viridiplantae; Streptophyta; Magnoliopsida; Fabales; Fabaceae. The record is from RNAcentral.